This 253-nucleotide ribosomal RNA is filed under the name uncultured organism. RNAcentral's name for it is "partial 16S ribosomal RNA". It matches the Rfam family "Bacterial small subunit ribosomal RNA", at positions 524 to 776 of the family's 1533-position model. The record is from RNAcentral.
UACGUAGGGGGCAAGCGUUGUCCGGAAUGACUGGGCGUAAAGCGCGCGCAGGCGGUUUCUUGCGUCUGAGGUGAAAGGCCAGGGCUCAACCCUGGGAUGGCCUUGGAAACGGGGGAACUUGAGGGUCGGAGAGGCAAGGGGAAUUCCACGUGUAGCGGUGAAAUGCGUAGAGAUGUGGAGGAAUACCAGUGGCGAAGGCGCCUUGCUGGACGAAACCUGACGCUGAGGCGCGAAGGCGUGGGGAGCAAACAGG